UGGGGGAAUAUUGGACAAUGGGGGGCAACCCUGAUCCAGCAAUGCCGCGUGUGUGAAGAAGGUCUUCGGAUUGUAAAGCACUUUCGACGGGGACGAUGAUGACGGUACCCGUAGAAGAAGCCCCGGCUAACUUCGUGCCAGCAGCCGCGGUAAUACGAAGGGGGCUAGCGUUGCUCGGAAUGACUGGGCGUAAAGGGCGUGUAGGCGGUUUACACAGUCAGAUGUGAAAUCCCCGGGCUUAACCUGGGAGCUGCAUUUGAUACGUGUAGACUAGAGUGUGAGAGAGGGUUGUGGAAUUCCCAGUGUAGAGGUGAAAUUCGUAGAUAUUGGGAAGAACA
Molecule: ribosomal RNA, 338 nt
Filed under: uncultured bacterium
Lineage: Bacteria
Description: partial 16S ribosomal RNA
Rfam family: Bacterial small subunit ribosomal RNA
Source: RNAcentral